GGGGAGGGGGAGAGAUGCCAAGAGGAGGGGGGCCACAGGGCCUGAAAAAGAUUGUGGAUUGAGAAUUAAUGAAAUUAACCUAAUCUUUUCCAUUCGGCAGCCCCGGCGCGGCCCCGGCCUUGCUGGGCGGGCGGCCUAAUUGCCCAGGUUAAUCUUAUUAAUACUAUUGUCCUGCCGCCGUUAACAACUCCGCCGCCGACCUCUCCGCCCCGACCCUUUUCUCUCUAUUAUGGGGUGCGAUUUCCUAUGGUUGUAGCUCAAAUUCAUUGUGGCUAAUUUUACUUUAGGACUACUUUUUACUCUCUUUCGGAAUCUGUUUGCUUUUAAGAAAUGAGGGUGGCUGUGUCCUCCCUCAACUAAGACUGAAAGUGCCCCCCCCCCGCAGCCAACCCCCUACCCCGUGAACUCACUGCCUAAUUUCACUUCUCCACCCCCCCCUCCGUCUCUUUCCCAAAAUCUUUUGUUUUUGCGAAAGCCAAAUUUUCUCAGAGCAAAAACCAUGAAAGUAGAAACGCGUCCGCCUUCGUACAAGUUGUCUUUUUUCUUCUUCUUCUUCUUAAAGCGGUCACUCUGGGUCUGAAAACUACCCUGACUCUCCCUAGCUCCUAACACACCAGUGAAGAGCAAAUUCAGCCAGUCUUUAAAAUUCACCACCCAGAGGAGCGCUCUGAAGCGAUGCUUCCAGAGGCUUCCCGCGUGGGUGCCGAUAGGUUCUGUGUAUUUUUGAUUAUUAGUCUGGGAGAAGGGGUGCCUUCCCCCCCCCCAAAAAAAAUUUUUUUGGCUUUAAUUCUCGUGGGAUCUACCGGGACUGCCUGUCUCCUUUCUCAACAUAUUGAGUGGCGUCCCUCUCUCAAUCAGCGAGCUCUCCGAAAGGCCUCUAGCUGUCCUUCCAGGCCCGCGCUGGCCUCCGGGGGACCCCAGCGGCCUGGACAAAAGUCGGGCCACUGCGGGCGGCCGUGAUGAUUUGCGGGAUUCUCCGUGAGGCACGGCCGAACCGCGGGAGGCGCAGCCAGCCUAGAUCUGCGCGCUGGCGGCUGGGCGACCUGCGGGAAGGAACAUCAGCCAAACUGCUGUCUGCCUUUCCCACAGACGACUUCUCAAAGGCCCAUUGUACUUCUGGCCGGCCUUUCCCAUUUCCUAGUUGUGCAGAAGUGUGACACUGUGGAGCUUACACCAGCUCUGCAGGUGGAGGCACUUGGGCUCCAACUCACUGAGAAGCCAUCCACCCUGAGGAUCCGCUGUCCUGGCUAAACUGGAAAGACAGACGUCUCUGAAAGGCCUUGGGUAAAGCCUGGCUCCCAGUCCACGCCCAGGAAGGCCAAUUUCCUUCCAUCCUCCUCAGCACGCUGAUCUUCCUGUUACUCCUGCUGCAAGCCUUGACUCUGAGAGUGGCAGCCACUAAGGGGAAAGAUGGCUAGCACUCUGCUUUCAAGGAUCUGUCCAGGGACCCAUACUUGCUCCUCCUGAACUGCAUGCCCAGACCAGUGCUACCAUUUCUCUGCUUGGAGACUUUCUGGAGACAGCACAGGAAGGGGACCCUAAGCCUUCCAGCUAUACCAAAGGGUUGUUGAGCUCCCCUGGAGGAAGGCAAGAAGCAUGGAGCCUCAGUUGUACACAGGGACAUCUUGAGUCACUCUCUGAAGUGUCUACUCCAGAGAUACUGUGUUUCAGACAAGGAUGGUGAUUCCAGUCCUUGGGAGACAGAGAUACUGUAAUCCUGUUCCCUGUCCACUGGUGCACGUGCAGACCUUUUAUCAGCAGGGAUUCCUCUACCCAGCUGGACCCUUGCUGUGUUUCUGCUUUGUCCCCCAAGACGAAUAACUGAACAUCGGCGGAGUGGAUGCUGAGAAUCUGGUGAGCUAUGAGUACUAUCCAGAAGGAUCCUGGACGGGUCUGAACACUUUUCAUAUCCCUGAAGCUCCCAGGUAAGGCUUGAGUUCAAGCCUCAAAACACACGGGUUGUCCAGCCUCUU
Long non-coding RNA from Mus musculus (house mouse), 1973 nucleotides. RefSeq annotates it as goosecoid homeobox divergent transcript. Lineage: Eukaryota; Metazoa; Chordata; Mammalia; Rodentia; Muridae. The record is from RefSeq and is a predicted model, not a curated record. The transcript has 6 exons.